AUGGACUGUUGGCUGCUGGGCUAUGUGGCCCUCUGUCUCUUGGGAGCGGCCUCCAUGGACACUGGAAUUACCCAGAUGCCUAAAUACCUGGUGAUGGUGAAGGCAGGAAAAGCCACCCUGAAGUGUGAACAACACCUGGGACAUGAUGCUAUGUACUGGUAUAGACAGAGUGCUCAGAAGCCACCAGAACUCAUGUUUUACUAUGAAAAUCGGGGACUCCUUGACAAUAACACAAUUCCUGGUCGCUUCUUGCCUGCAUGCCCAGACAGCUCCCACUUGAACCUCCAAGUGGACCCUGUGAAGCCAGAAGACACCUCUGUGUACCUCUGUGCCAGCAGCAGAGACACAGCCCCACACAGUCCACUUCUCCCUGUGCACAAACCUGCUGGCAGCUGCAGGAAGCAGGGCUCAGCAGGGCUCAGCUCCCAUUUCCUGGAGCUCCUCACACAGACAUCUCUGAGCAGAAUCCUGCCUGUGAGUUCAAGGACAGGAGUGCUAGAUGCCAUGUGCAGAUACCAACACUUCCUGUCCAGGCUUAGUCCUGAAAGGGUUGUUCCUACAGCUGAGUUUCAUAGACAUGACCACAUUCUAGUUCCUGUUCCAAUCAGCAACCAAUCAGCCAGCAGCUAG
Molecule: non-coding RNA, 630 nt
Organism: Erinaceus europaeus (western European hedgehog)
Lineage: Eukaryota; Metazoa; Chordata; Mammalia; Eulipotyphla; Erinaceidae
Source: the annotation of a RefSeq genome assembly